GAUCCUGGCUUAGGACGAACGCUGGCGGCAUGCCUAACACAUGCAAGUCGAACGGAGUAAUGACUUCGGUUAUUACUUAGUGGCGAACGGGUGAGUAACACGUGAAUAAUCUGCCCUGUACGAUGGGAUAACAGCUGGAAACGGCUGCUAAUACCGUAUAUGACCACGCCGAGGCAUCUCGGAGGGGUGAAAGCGCUUAAGCGGUACAGGAUGAGUUCGCGUCCAAUUAGCUAGUUGGUGAGGUAACGGCCCACCAAGGCGACGAUUGGUAGCCGACCUGAGAGGGUGAUCGGCCACACUGGAACUGAGACACGGUCCAGACUCCUACGGGAGGCAGCAGUGGGGAAUAUUGGGCAAUGGAGGAAACUCUUACCCAGCCAAUGCCGCGUGAGUGAUGAAGGUCUUCGGAUUGUAAAGCUCUUUGAUUGGGGACGAAUAAAUGACGGUACCCAAGGAACAAGCCCCGGCUAACUAUGUGCCAGCCGCAGC
Molecule: ribosomal RNA, 489 nt
Filed under: uncultured bacterium
Lineage: Bacteria
Description: bacterial SSU rRNA
Rfam family: Bacterial small subunit ribosomal RNA
Source: RNAcentral